GACGAACGCUGGCGGCGUGCUUAACACAUGCAAGUCGAACGGAAAGGCCCUGCUUUUGUGGGGUGCUCGAGUGGCGAACGGGUGAGUAACACGUGAGUAACCUGCCCUUGACUUUGGGAUAACUUCAGGAAACUGGGGCUAAUACCGGAUAGGAGCUCCUGCUGCAUGGUGGGGGUUGGAAAGUUUCGGCGGUUGGGGAUGGACUCGCGGCUUAUCAGCUUGUUGGUGGGGUAGUGGCUUACCAAGGCUUUGACGGGUAGCCGGCCUGGGAGGGUGACCGGCCACAUUGGGACUGAGAUACGGCCCAGACUCCUACGGGACGCAGCAGUGGGGAAUAUUGCACAAUGGGCGAAAGCCUGAUGCAGCAACGCCGCGUGCGGGAUGACGGCCUUCGGGUUGUAAACCGCUUUCGCCUGUGACGAAGCGUGAGUGACGGUAAUGGGUAAAGAAGCACCGGCUAACUACGUA
Molecule: ribosomal RNA, 468 nt
Filed under: uncultured bacterium
Lineage: Bacteria
Description: partial 16S ribosomal RNA
Rfam family: Bacterial small subunit ribosomal RNA
Source: RNAcentral